Molecule: ribosomal RNA, 1247 nt
Filed under: uncultured bacterium
Lineage: Bacteria
Description: bacterial SSU rRNA
Rfam family: Bacterial small subunit ribosomal RNA
Source: RNAcentral
AGUGGCAAACGGGUGCGUAACACAUUGGUAAUCUACCUCGAAGUCGUGAAUAACCAACCGAAAGGUUGGCUAAUACACUGAUGGAAAUGGGGGGACAUAAGUCAUUCCCAUUUAAAGUUCCGACGCUUCGAGAGGAGCCUAUGGCCCAUCAGCUUGUUGGUAGUGUAAAAGACUACCAAGGCUACGACGGGUAGCGGGUGUGAGAGCACGACCCGCCUCACUGGGACUGAGACACUGCCCAGACUCCUACGGGAGGCUGCAGUCAAGAAUAUUCCGCAAUGCCCUAACGGGUGACGGAGCGACGCCGCGUGCAGGAUGAAGCCUUUCGGGGUGUAAACUGCUUUUAUAAAGGAAGAACAAAUGACGGUACUUUAUGAAUAAGGGGUUGCUAACUCUGUGCCAGCAGCAGCGGUAAUACAGAGACCCCAAGCGUUAUCCGGAUUUAUUGGGCGUAAAGCGUGCGCAGGUGGCAUUUUAAGUCGUUGGUCAAAGACCGGGGCUCACUCGGAAAGGCUGGCGAUACUUGAUGUGCUUGAGAUGGAAGAGGCAAGCGGAAUUACCGGUGUAGCGGUAAAAUGCGUUAAUAUCGGUAAGAACACCAAAAAUGCAAGGCAGCUUGCUAGUACAUUCCUGACACUGAAGCACGAAAGCGUGGGGAGCAAAGAGGAUUAGAUACCCUNGUAGUCCACGCCGUAAACUAUGGACACUAGACAUUGGAAGUAUCGACCCUUUCAGUGUCGCACUAUUUAAGCUAACGCGUUAAGUGUCCCGCCUGGGGAGUACGGCCGCAAGGCUAAAACUCAAAGGAAUUGACGGGAGCCCGCACAAGCGGUGGAGCAUGUGGUUUAAUUCGAUGAUAAGCGAGGAACCUUACCAGGACUUGACAUCCUAAGAACCCCGAGUAAUGUUGGGGGUGCUUUUGAACUUAGAGACAGGUGCUGCAUGGUUGUCGUCAGCUCGUGUCGUGAGAUGUACGGUUAAGUCCGGAAACGAGCGCAACCCUUAUCCUAUGUUAUAUAUGUCAUAGGAGACUGCCAGCUUUAAGCUGGAGGAAGGCGAGGAUGACGUCAAAUCAGCAUGGCUCUUACGUCCUGGGCGACACACGUGCUACAAUGGCCGGUACAACGGGAAGCCAAGCCGAAAGGUGGAGCAAGUCCUAUCAAAACCGGUCUUAGUUCGGAUUGAGGUCUGCAACUCGACCUCAUGAAGCUGGAAUCGCUAGUAACCGCGCAUCAGCCACGGCGCGG